GUCUAUGGCCAUACCACACUGAAAAGUCAAUCUUGUUUGAUCUCGGAAGCUAAGCAGGGUCAGGCCUGGUUAGUACUUGGAUGGGAAUAAUCAUAAGGGAAAAUAUACA
RNAcentral lists this ribosomal RNA (109 nucleotides) under Microcebus murinus (gray mouse lemur). Lineage: Eukaryota; Metazoa; Chordata; Mammalia; Primates; Cheirogaleidae. The record is from RNAcentral.